This 1155-nucleotide long non-coding RNA is filed under the name Felis catus (domestic cat). RNAcentral describes it as "lncRNA (ENSFCAG00000052099.1)". The record is from RNAcentral. Lineage: Eukaryota; Metazoa; Chordata; Mammalia; Carnivora; Felidae.
AUGCUGGGGCCCCGAACCCCUGUCCUGCUGGGCCUCACCUCCCGCAGCCCUUCCUGGGCAGGGCAUGGGAAAGGGGGAGAGGGCCGGUCUGCCCCAGGACAGGAAGGGAGUAGCUCAAAUCACAGAGGCUGUCUCAGGAAGCGCAACCCUGACCCCCUAGACCCUGAGCCGGGCAGGGAAGGGGCGACGACAGGGAACCGCCACGGCCGCGCCGUCGCGGCGGAUGGGGCAAGGCUGCGGGUGGGCGCGGGCUCGGGGCCCCGCCGGGGCACCUGCGCCUCGCCCCGCCCGGCCAUCCCCUCGCAGGGCCCCGUCCCGGCCUGUCGGCGCGGCCACGCGGACCCGGCGCUCCCGGCCCGCCGCCCGACGGCCGCCCCGGGCCUGGCACCUCUCUGCGCCUCCGCGGGACAAACAGCACAUGACCGCGGCUCUCGCGGCCGGCCGGGGACCCCGGCUCCCCGCCCCCAGGCCGGCACAUUCCACGGCGGGCGUCCCCUCCCUCCCUGCCCGCCCCCCCUCCCCCCGGCUCUCACCUCGUCGCCGCGGGGCUCCCGGAGCGGCUCGGCGGGGAGCACGGGGGCGACCUUCCCGGGACGCGGGAGGCGGCGGCGGGCAGGUCCGGAGCGGGCUCCGGGCGGCCCCCGCCCCUCGCCGGGGGCCCGGGCGGCGGGCGACGGACUCGCGCCCCGGGGGCGGCGGCAGCAGGAGCGGCAGCGGCGGCGCCAGCGGCCGGCGCCCGCCCGGGCAGCGCGAGCUGGGGCGGGAGCGAGGGGCGGGGGACCGGCGGGCGCGCGCACGCGAGCGGGCGCGCGCGCCGUCCCGACACCGGCCCGGGAGCGCCCUGGACUGCGGUUAAAGGGGCGAUGCCCUCCGGACUGUGGGGCCCACCGGGCGCGGACAGGGAACCGAGCUGCGGACGCAGAGAGGCACGCAGGACACCGGCCCUCGGGAGGGUUACGGCGCCGGAGGAGCCGGGCCGGGGACAGGAGGGGGGGUGGGGGCGGGUCCUGGAGGGGACCCAGGCCCCGGACCCGCGCACGUCGCCGCCGUCGGAGGCGCGCCCAGGGGCGGGGCCGCCCGUCGCGCCCCGCCCAGGGGUGGUCCCCGCCCAGGCUCCGCCCCCGGCCGCGCGCGGCGCGCAGGCUCCGCCCCUGA